Molecule: long non-coding RNA, 1064 nt
Filed under: Cricetulus griseus (Chinese hamster)
Lineage: Eukaryota; Metazoa; Chordata; Mammalia; Rodentia; Cricetidae
Description: lncRNA (ENSCGRG00015041241.1)
Source: RNAcentral
GGAGCUGGACUCCGGCAAACAAAUAUGUGUCUCGGACUACCCUCACUGUGCUGGGAACACCACUGGGAAACCUGCCAUGGGGACACUGCCCCACUGCCACCCAAGCAGCUCUACCACCUCUGUUUCAGGGACCAGCUUGGAUGGAGGAGUCUGACCUCCUACUGGGCCCUGGGGUCAUCAACUUGUGUUUUUUGCCACAGUUCUCUGGAAAACAGGGAUGGCCCCGGGGGACAUCAACAGCCACUGUACCACAUGGAGGGCACCGACCUGGAGUUUGCAGCUCCUUCUGCUCUGCUUUUAGAGGACACAGAUGGAGAGACGCCUCACUGUCUCUGGGCUCUGGUUUCUCUCCCAGAAGAGCAAAAAGCUCCCUAAGUUCCUGGUACUGAAUUCAAGUCGUCUCAUUUGGUAAAAGAAGCCUGUACCACUGAGCCGUCUCUCUGGCCCAUUGAUAGAUGUUGUGAUGAAGUGCUUUUGGUCCCUGGCCACCAUCAUUCAUCCUUUAGUCCCUUAUGGAAAUGUGCAGAGCAAAAGCAGACGUGCUGGCCACCGUCAGAUGCAGUCCCUGUGCCGAGGAGGUCGGGAGCCUCCCCAAGGGUGAUGAAGUCAUGGGCCCUGGAAUGAAAAGAGAUGGAUUAUCAAAGCAAACUUGGGCAAGAACUAAUCAUUUAGGAGUCAGUCUACAUGGAGAAUACACAACGUGAUGGCUGUGGCUAUGGACAGGUCACAUGACCUUCCCUUCAGCACCUGAGUACAUGUCCAGACACACAGCUAUAGCCACUGUGGAGGGGGGGGGGAAGGCAGCUGCCACUGUGUGUCACUCCUUGACCCCAAAAACCACAGGAUAUAUCACCUCUGUCAUCACUCUCCCUUUGUUUUUUAAUGAUUAGUCAUUUGUGACGUAAUACGGGCCAUGGUUAACCAGUAAUAAUAAAUCUGGCCAUUUUGGUGAAGGCGUACAACACUGUGUGUGUGUAAAAGGUAAGCAUGAUAUAUAGCUGCAGAUGCUGAUGUAAUAGCUAUUAGAUUUAUAAUACAUCCAAGAAGCAUAAUUUUACUAUAAA